UUAAUACUCCCUCCAUCUAGAAAUACUUGUCCCCAAAAUGGUUGUAUCUAGACUUAUUUUAGUUAUAGAUAAAUCCAUUUUAUUCAUUUCUAGGACAAGUAUUUCUGGACGGAGGGAGUACAAU
Non-coding RNA from Triticum aestivum (bread wheat), 124 nucleotides. The record is from Rfam. Lineage: Eukaryota; Viridiplantae; Streptophyta; Magnoliopsida; Poales; Poaceae.